GUGGGGAAUAUUGGACAAUGGGCGAAAGCCUGAUCCAGCCAUGCCGCGUGUGUGAAGAAGGCCUUAGGGUUGUAAAGCACUUUCAGUGGGGAAGAAAGCCUGAGACCUAAUACGUUUCAGGAAGGACAUCACCCACAGAAGAAGCACCGGCUAACUCCGUGCCAGCAGCCGCGGUAAUACGGAGGGUGCGAGCGUUAAUCGGAAUUACUGGGCGUAAAGGGCGCGUAGGCGGUCUGUUAAGCCAGAUGUGAAAGCCCCGGGCUUAACCUGGGAACAGCAUUUGGAACUGGCAGACUUGAGUGCAGGAGAGGAAGGUAGAAUUCCAGGUGUAGCGGUGAAAUGCGUAGAGAUCUGGAGGAAUACCAGUGGCGAAGGCGGCCUUCUGGACUGACACUGACGCUGAGGCGCGAAAGCGUGGGGAGCAAACAGGAUUAGAAACCCUAGUAGUCC
Molecule: ribosomal RNA, 450 nt
Filed under: uncultured bacterium
Lineage: Bacteria
Description: bacterial SSU rRNA
Rfam family: Bacterial small subunit ribosomal RNA
Source: RNAcentral